This 442-nucleotide ribosomal RNA is filed under the name fungal sp. RNAcentral's name for it is "SSU rRNA". It matches the Rfam family "Eukaryotic small subunit ribosomal RNA", at positions 634 to 1077 of the family's 1831-position model. Lineage: Eukaryota; Fungi. The record is from RNAcentral.
UUGAAGUUCGGGGAUCAGAAUUGUCGGUCGUGCCUCGGUACGCACUGGCAUUAUUGGUUCCUACCUUCUGAAGAACCGCGAUGUCAUUAAUUUGGUGUCGUGGGGAAUCAGGACUGUUACUUAGAAAAAAUUAGAGUGUUUAAAGCAGGCGCACGCUUGAAUACAUCAGCAUGGAAUAAUAAAAUAGGACGUUUGAUUCUAUUUUGUUGGUUUCUAGGAUCGACGUAAUGAUUAAUAGGGAUAGUUGGGGGCAUUAGUAUUCAAUUGUCAGAGGUGAAAUUCUGGAUUUAUUGAAGACUAACUACUGCGAAAGCAUUUGCCAAGGAUGUUUUCAUUAAUCAAGAACGAAAGUUAGGGGAUCGAAGACGAUCAGAUACCGUCGUAGUCUUAACCAUAAACUAUGCCGACUAGGGAUCGGAUGAUGUUUAAUUUUUAAUGACUC